CUCUGAUCAACACAAGUUCAUCGAAUCGUAAAAAAGAUAAUGAAUUUACCUCAAAAACCAAAAAAGGUUUCAGCCAAAGUAGAAAGAAUCGCGAUCCAACUCGCCGGAAUCGUAAUUCGGUGGAAGCAGCCGGAAUUGCCUCGAAAACGUGUGGGAACGGUGGAAUCGAGCGUUUUUCUGUGACUCUUCCUCACAAAUUCCGGGUUCGUGCGUCGGGGCCGGUUACUUGAAACCAGAGCAAAAAUGUAUGUUUUCUUUGAUUGAUAUUAUGUAUUUGUGUAACGUUUUUGCUGAAUAAUUAUUUCAAUUAAUUGCCGAAAACUUUCCCAAUACUCCCAUUAAUUGUCAAUGUUUUUUUUAACAAAUUAAUAUGUCGUUUUGCUUCUUUUUUUCUUGGUUGUUUUGAGUUUUUUCUAUGUCGUUUUGUAGCUAGCACACUCACUGUUGUAAUGUAUCUGUGGUGUUAUUUAAUCUUGGUUUUGUUUGCAGGAUAUCUGAGUUUUGAGAUGGGCAGCAAUGGAUACCAUACAAGAAAAUGUGUUAUCACACUCCUUGCUUGACCAACACCUGUUCUCAAUGGAUGAGGGAGCUUUGCUUUAUGGCUGAAGAGAGGGCCCAGGAAAGGAAUUACCAUGUACAAUUCAACCUAAUGUUGUUUCUGAGGUGCUUUGGUUGGGUGUUUUUUGAUGUUUUUUUGCUUUGAUCGGUGUUUGAAAUUGAUUGGUUGAAACUCUUUUUCCCUUUCCUUUACACCAUGUACUUCCUCAUACCUUGACCAGAAAACAAAACUUUUUUCCAACUCAUAUGAUAUGAUACUGCACAGUAUCGGAAGCAUGCCACUAUGGGACAAAACUUUGUAUCAAAUUCUUAAAUUGGUUUCUGAUUCUAUUAAUAACUUAAAA
Molecule: long non-coding RNA, 902 nt
Filed under: Medicago truncatula (barrel medic)
Lineage: Eukaryota; Viridiplantae; Streptophyta; Magnoliopsida; Fabales; Fabaceae
Description: lncRNA gene18334
Source: RNAcentral